Molecule: RNA transcript, 2670 nt
Organism: Toxotes jaculatrix (banded archerfish)
Lineage: Eukaryota; Metazoa; Chordata; Actinopteri; Toxotidae
Gene name: C-1-tetrahydrofolate synthase, cytoplasmic-like
Exons: 12
Source: RefSeq, a predicted model, not a curated record
UCACAUUAAAUCUUUGUCUUUAUGAAACUCGUGUCUCCACAUGUGUCUGCAGCUUCACACGAGUCAUGGAAACUUUCUUGCUGUUUGUUGACGUGGCGAAGGAUCGAAGCUGCAGAGGCGUCUGUGUCUCUGUGCAGCUGCAGAUUUGACUUUUCUGUGAGACUCAGCGUGGACCUGUGGACCUCAGACUGAGAGUCCACACAGACUGUGUCUUUAGUUUUCAAUCAUUAACACGUUUCAUGGCCAGACUGUGCCAGUGGGUUAGAACUUUAUUCUUAGAUUAGAUUAGAUUCAACUUUAUUGUCGUUACACACGUAGAAGGACAAGCUAACGAAACGCAGUUUAGCAUCGAACCUGAAGAGCUGCAGGUGCAGUGUGUACAGUGUGUAUAACUCACAGAUAUAUACAAUCAGCAUGAUCUACAGAGGAGUGCUCUGUAGGCAACAGUUAAACAGGUAGUGAACACACUAUACAGGUGCAUUAAGCCUCUACAUGUAUGUACAGGUAAACAGGUAGUCUGUGGUACUUUACACAUGAAUUGUGCUGCUAAACACAUGUAUGUGAACAUAAUUUAGAAAUGAGUGGUUUCAGUGACAGAACAGUUCGGUGAUUCAAAGCGUAGGAAAGUUUCACCACACUGUCUCUGUCUGUCUCUGUCUCUGUCUGUCUCUGUUGAACUUUGACCUUUUUACUUCUGAUUUUCACACCUGUUAUAUUUGAUCAGUAAAUCAGAAUCUAUUGAUUGAACCAGGUGUUCUCAGGUAACCUGCUCAGUCUCAUCACAUGCUAAUUCUCAGAGCUGAUGAGAAACCUAAACAGGUUCAUAUCUCUCUCUCUCUCAGUCAUGUUAUCCUUGGUCGCCCGCUUGCUCCAUCUCAGGACCUCCAGUUGCCAAGGAAGCAGGCGCUCCAUGGCAACCAUCGUCUCCGGCAACAAGACGUCCAAGAUGGUGAGAGAGAGGCUGAGGAACGAGGUGGAGAAGAUGAAGAGUCAGUUCUCAGGAUUCAGACCCAGUCUGGUGGUCUUACAGGUGGGAGACAGAGACGACUCCAACCUGUACAUCAGCACCAAACUGAAGGCUGCGGCCGAGAUUGGAAUCGAUGCCAAACACGUGAGGCUGCCAAACACGGCGUCGCAGGAUGAGGUCCUGCAGAGCAUCAUGUCUGUCAAUGAGAACCUGUCCGUCCACGGUCUGAUCGUCCAGCUCCCUCUGGACUCUGUGAACCCCAUCAACACCGAACUCAUCACCAACGCUGUGUCUCCAGAGAAGGACGUGGACGGUCUGAGUUGUGUUAAUGCAGGGAAGCUGUCUCGCGGGGAUCUGAAGGACUGUUUCAUCCCCUGCACCCCCAACGGCUGCAUGGAGCUCAUCCGACAGACAGGCGUGUCGGUGGCGGGGAAACAUGCGGUCGUGAUUGGUCGCAGUAAAAUCGUGGGUGCUCCGAUGCACGACCUGCUGCUGUGGAACCACGCUACUGUGACCACCUGUCACUCAAAGACACCUGAUCUACCUGAACAGGUGAGCAGGGCUGACAUCCUGGUGGUGGGAGCAGGUAGAGCAGAGAUGGUGAGAGGAGAGUGGGUGAAGGACGGAGCGGUGGUCAUCGACUGUGGGAUCAACCACAUCCCAGAUGAGACGAAGGCGAGCGGGAAACGGGUGGUCGGAGACGUCCACUACACCUCAGCCAGUCAGAGAGCAGGAUUCAUCACACCUGUUCCAGGAGGGGUGGGGCCGAUGACGGUGGCCAUGCUCAUGGAGCUUCCUCUGAACCGACGUUUUGACUGCCGAGCGUUUUCAGGUUAAACAGUCGUUUCCUUCUCUGCUGAUACAAAGGUUCAGAUCCACAGAACACGGUUCAGAGCGCGCAGCGUUUCCUCCUGAAGAAUCAGACGAGGACGUGAAACACCAGGAAACACUCCAGGAUGUGGACAGGUGUGAGGAGGAUGUGAGCUGAGUGAUGGACGCACAGAGGACGUGAUUGGAGGACGUCCUCACUGUCCACAGAUUUAAAUGAAAUCCUGAACCAUGAUCUGGAUUUGUUUCACCUGCACAGACUCAACAGCUGAGACUCUUCUUCUUCUUCUUCUCCUUUCAUUUGUCUCCUGUCUUUUCAAAUGUUACCUCCACCAAGGAGGUCUGGCAUGUUUGUUUGUUUGUUUGUUUGUUUGUUUGUUUGUUUGUUUGUUUGUUUGUUUGUCUGCAGAAUCACACAAAAAGUAGUGAACUGAUUUGCACCAGACUUGGUGGAGGGAUGGGACGUGGACCAGGGGAGAACCCGUUAAAGGGACUGAAGCGUUGUGUGUCCGUGUUGGACCGUGUCCAUGUCCGUCCCUCAGACUAUUUUUACAACUAGUUCUAGUAGUUUGAGCUUCGUGUCGACUUCAGCAGGAUCCAGUCCUCGACCUUUAACCUCCACAGCUCUGUUUGCUGUGGGGUCAGAGGUCGUCGUCCUGGAAACAGAGACCUACCAGCUGUCUCCUGCUGAGGACUGAAGUCCACAUGAAUGGAUCAAACAUCCUGAAGAACUGAACCUGGUGCAGCUGAUGUGAACGGUGUAAAAUGUCUUUGAUCUGUUUCCUGCUGGAAAAAUUAAAUCAAGUUUGAUUUUUCAUUUGUGUUUUUUUCCUUGGACACUCGGACAAGGCUGAGCUGAACCAUGAGACAGUUCA